GCCCGGGUGGUGAAAUUGGUAGACACGCAGGACUUAAAAUCCUGUAACCCUAAAAGGUUGUGCGGGUUCAAGUCCCGCCCCGGGUA
RNAcentral lists this transfer RNA (86 nucleotides) under Cyclobacteriaceae bacterium. RNAcentral describes it as "tRNA-Leu". It matches the Rfam family "tRNA". Rfam says of the family: Transfer RNA (tRNA) molecules are approximately 80 nucleotides in length. Their secondary structure includes four short double-helical elements and three loops (D, anti-codon, and T loops). Lineage: Bacteria; Pseudomonadati; Bacteroidota; Cytophagia; Cytophagales; Cyclobacteriaceae. The record is from RNAcentral.